GGCACAAUAGGAGUUGGCAGCAGCUUCAAGGUGAAGUCCAACUUUAGAGCCUGGGAGACCCUGCUUCUCAGAGAACUUGAGCUGGACCUGGAAAUUAAUAAAUCCAAGACAACCACAUGAUGGGUUUGUCCGUCUGGAUGAAGACAGCAUUAUCCACAUUCUGAAUUGCCACUGAUCUUCUCUCAUCUAAGUCGACUGUGGUGCCUUUGGCAGAGAAGGAAAUGAAUGCCAGAGGAUCAGAAGUAGCAGGUGGGACCUGGAGAGGAACAAAAUCCCAGAGAAAAGAUGUUGCAGGGUCACAAGAAAGGGAAUGAGCAUCACCCAAUCUGGGUUCUCCAACUUGACACUUAGACAGUCCCAAAUGGAGCAUGCAGCUGUGAU
Long non-coding RNA from Myiozetetes cayanensis, 381 nucleotides. RefSeq lists it as uncharacterized. The record is from RefSeq and is a predicted model, not a curated record. Lineage: Eukaryota; Metazoa; Chordata; Aves; Passeriformes; Tyrannidae. The transcript has 3 exons.